This 26-nucleotide small RNA is filed under the name Arabidopsis thaliana (thale cress). Its description in RNAcentral is "nad6". The record is from RNAcentral. Lineage: Eukaryota; Viridiplantae; Streptophyta; Magnoliopsida; Brassicales; Brassicaceae.
ACUAUAAUGAGGAGGACGACUGACCC